Molecule: long non-coding RNA, 364 nt
Filed under: Nicotiana benthamiana
Lineage: Eukaryota; Viridiplantae; Streptophyta; Magnoliopsida; Solanales; Solanaceae
Description: long non-coding RNA (NBEN_LNC017872)
Source: RNAcentral
UACUUUACCCGAUUGCAUUUUAUUGGAAUUGAGAUAAUACCUCAGAGAAAUUUGACUUUACUUUUUUGUUUCCGAAGUAACUCUCAUCAACUAGCACUAGUUUGAGGUGAACUAGCACUAGUUUGAUGUCAACCUUUAGGUUUCCGAAGUAACUCUCAUCAACUAGCACUAGUUCGAGGUGAAGUAGCACUAGUUUGAUGUCAACCUUUAGGAGUAAUUCAUCAAAUUGGUUAAAUCUAAAUAAUAACAUACUCUUUAUUUAAUACGAUCCCACUAUACAUAUCGAUAUACAUAGAGAUUCACCGACUACAUUUCAGCGAUGCUGAUAUAUUUGAAAAUUGCUAGAAUUGAUAUAUCCAUAUAU